GCGAAACUCCAACAUGACUUAAUCUCUUCAUCACAACUCUUCCACAAGUGGUGAGAAGAUACCUAGGUGACGACUUCUGCUCUACAAGUAGAUGACGAAGGUUCAUUCUGUUGCUUCAGAUCAACUUCGCCAUGAGACUGUGCAACUACUUGUAGCGAGGUUUGCAGCAACUGAAGAUGUUCUCAUCUAGCAUCUUGCUGGGGACCCCGAUGGCCAUCUGAUACGAUCGUUUCUUCGACAAUGACACUGGGAGAAGUCUUCUAACUGUCCCUUGUUUCAACUCAGAUCUGAAAUGACGUUGUCUCAACACUGUGCCAAAACAGCCAUCUCAGCAAAACAGCUCCCUUUCCUCACACUGGCCAAGUUUUUUUUUGAAAAUAAUGGUGCUGGGAUUCCGUGUUAAUACCCAGACACUACUCAUACCAUCUACACUGUGACACCAGAACAACCGAUGAACCUCAACCAUCACUACAUCGACAAAACUUCUACCAAAUUCUACCAUAACACGACGAGAUACAUCCAGAUACGCCCUCUACAGGCAGAUAUUACCCCAGGAUAGCAAAACAAGUCUUUUCUGAGCUAUAAAAUUGUACUGAUAAUGUCUCUUCUGACUAGCCUUCCGAAGAGUGCCGCUUGAUUAACAACCGCCGCAGUUGGGGUCGCCACACUUGGAGCAAUGCUUCUUCUCCUGAGUAGGAGUAGGAGCACAAGGCUUGGCAUCAAUUGCCACAGUGCCGGUGAUGGUGGUGUAGUGGGUGGUGAUGAUGGUGGUGGACUUGGGGCACUCCUUCUGGGGACACUUCUUGGAGUGGAUCUUGUCCUUGAACUGGUGGAUGUCCUGGGGGGACUCGGACUGGUCGUUGUUCACGGGAACCGCAACGGCGAGAGCGGCCAUGGACAGGAGGGCGAGGUUCUUGAUCUGCAUUCUAGUAGAUUGGUUGUUGGCUGGUUGAUACUAAUUGAGGGGUGUCACACUGGUAUAUAUACUGCAGAAAGAUCUUGAACUUGUCCAAACAGUAGUUGAACUUGACCAAAGAAAAGUUCAACUUGUCAUUCUCGAGGCUCAGUUGUCAUUCGCGAGGCUCACCUCUGCUCCCGUUGGCCUAUUACUUCUCAUUCUGCCACUCCCGAACCAUCAUAAACUAACCCCAUAGACCAUCUCGGAAAACCAACCCCUUUCCGGCAUCCACCAAUGGUAAAUAUCCCGCUGCAGUUGCCGUCCGGGUGUGAUUGUAUGCUAUGUCAGAGACGGAACGACGCGAUGAGAACUAUAGGGCCAUUUCGGAAGGUUGCGGUGAAACAUGUGACAGGCAGAUGAGUAGGUGGAGGAAUUGCGUAUGAGUAGAGCUAUGAGAUGAACAUGUUUGGUAUAUGCUGC
This 1378-nucleotide unclassified non-coding RNA is filed under the name Yarrowia lipolytica. The record is from RNAcentral. Lineage: Eukaryota; Fungi; Ascomycota; Dipodascomycetes; Dipodascales.